AGAGUUUGAUCAUGGCUCAGGACGAACGCUGGCGGCGUGCUUAACACAUGCGAGUCGAACGGAAAGGCCCUUCGGGGUACUCGAGUGGCGAACGGGUGAGUAACACGUGGGUGAUCUGCCCUGCACUUUGGGAUAAGCCUGGGAAACUGGGUCUAAUACCGAAUAGGACCACGCGCUUCAUGGUGUGUGGUGGAAAGCUUUUGCGGUGUGGGAUGGGCCCGCGGCCUAUCAGCUUGUUGGUGGGGUAAUGGCCUACCAAGGCGACGACGGGUAGCCGGCCUGAGAGGGUGACCGGCCACACUGGGACUGAGAUACGGCCCAGACUCCUACGGGAGGCAGCAGUGGGGAAUAUUGCACAAUGGGCGCAAGCCUGAUGCAGCGACGCCGCGUGAGGGAUGACGGCCUUCGGGUUGUAAACCUCUUUCAAUAGGGACGAAGCGCAAGUGACGGUACCUAUAGAAGAAGCACCGGCCAACUACGUGCCAGCAGCCGCGGUAAUACGUAGGGUGCGAGCGUUGUCCGGAAUUACUGGGCGUAAAGAGCUCGUAGGUGGUUUGUCGCGUUGUUCGUGAAAACUCACAGCUUAACUGUGGGCGUGCGGGCGAUACGGGCAGACUAGAGUACUGCAGGGGAGACUGGAAUUCCUGGUGUAGCGGUGGAAUGCGCAGAUAUCAGGAGGAACACCGGUGGCGAAGGCGGGUCUCUGGGCAGUAACUGACGCUGAGGAGCGAAAGCGUGGGGAGCGAACAGGAUUAGAUACCCCGGUAGUCCAA
Molecule: ribosomal RNA, 773 nt
Filed under: uncultured bacterium
Lineage: Bacteria
Description: bacterial SSU rRNA
Rfam family: Bacterial small subunit ribosomal RNA
Source: RNAcentral